Molecule: ribosomal RNA, 442 nt
Filed under: uncultured bacterium
Lineage: Bacteria
Description: partial 16S ribosomal RNA
Rfam family: Bacterial small subunit ribosomal RNA
Source: RNAcentral
CCUACGGGAGGCAGCAGUGGGGAAUAUUGGGCAAUGGGCGAAAGCCUGACCCAGCAACGCCGCGUGAAGGAAGAAGGCUUUCGGGUUGUAAACUUCUUUUGACAGGGAAGAGCAGAAGACGGUACCUGUCGAAUAAGCCACGGCUAACUACGUGCCAGCAGCCGCGGUAAUACGUAGGUGGCAAGCGUUGUCCGGAUUUACUGGGUGUAAAGGGCGUGUAGCCGGGCUGACAAGUCAGAUGUGAAAUCCGGGGGCUCAACCCCCGAACUGCAGUUGAAACUGGUGGUCUUGAGUAUCGGAGAGGCAGGCGGAAUUCCUAGUGUAGCGGUGAAAUGCGUAGAUAUCAGGAGGAACACCAAUGGCGAAGGCAGCCUGCUGGACGAUAACUGACGGUGAGGCGCGAAAGCGUGGGGAGCAAACAGGAUUAGAUACCCUAGUAGUC